CCUCACGUUCCGGACAGAAUAAUUUCAUCUCUGCAGGGGGAGGAGGGAUCGGGCCGGUCGCCGGCGUAAUGGCUGAGGAAGAGAAAGUGGUGCAAUACUUUUCUAGGGAUUUCGAAUGGGAGGAGCUCCGAGAUGAGGUCGAGCGGAACCCUAAGUUUAGCUACCAUCUGUCCUCCUUCUCCCCUUCUCUUUCCUCGCCAUCUCCAGUGGACGCCGACGCCGACGCCUGGAGAAACUUCCACCGCCGCCAUUCCACUGGGACAUUUUUUAAGGAAAGGCGAUACCUUUUAAAGGAAUUUCCUGAACUUAUUGUUUUUGAUGGUUCCAUCCGAGUUUUAGAAGUGGGUUGCGGGAAUGGGAGCACAGCUCUCCCAAUCUUAAGAGCAAAACAGAAUAUCAUUGUCUAUGCUUGUGACUGCAGUCAAGACGCCCUUGAUAAAACAGUAGAAAUGAUUGCUACUUCCAACUUCCCUUCAAUCAGUCAUCGAUUUUAUCCAUUUCUCCAUGAUUUUUCUGCUAAUAGAUUCCCAAAUUGGUUUCUAUGCUCUGCUUGUAAAAAGUGUCCACAUAAAAAAGAUUUCAUCUUUACGCCAGAUGCAAAUGGAGAAGGCUUGAUUAGAAUAAACGAGCCUGCCGCAUGCUGCAUUGGUGGAAUUGACUAUGUAACCCUAAUAUUCACUCUGUCAGCAGUACCAUUUCAAAGGAUGUCAUAUAUACUCGCAGAGUUGUUGACUGUUUUAAAACCAGGGGGUCUGCUUCUGUUCAGAGAUUAUGGGCUGUUUGACAUGACAAUGCUUCGAUUUCGACCAGAACAAAGAGUGGGCUUUAGGGAGUACAUGCGGUCAGAUGGUACUCUUUCCUAUUUCUUUUCUCUGGAUAUUGUGAGAAACCUUUUUCUUGGCGCUGGAUUCAUUGAGUUGGAGCUUGAAUACUGUUGUGUGAUUUCUGUGAAUCGUCGUAGUGGUAAGAAGAUGCAAAGGGUGUGGGUUCAUGGGAAAUUCCAGAAGCCCACUGUUGGCACAUCAUGAUUGUCUUCCUCAGGGAAGCGGUACACUGCAAACUGCAAACUACAAACAGCUAAUUCGAGCUAAACGCAUCUAACGAUCUUCAAAAUUAUCAAAGCCAAGAACUACUCCGCCUGAAGAUCUAUGGGUUUUUGCCAUGCCAAACUUAUUUUGCUUGUGAGUCUUUUCCUUAUAUUUCCAAACUAGAAUUUCUUUUAUAGAAAUUUAUACUAUUAAGCCUUAAGAUUUCUAAACAUGGUUGAUCAUUGAUAGAUGUUUCUUUUGGAGCCUUUAAGUUCAUUUAUUCCAUUGAUUCAGUUGUUUUUGCCAAGUAACAUAAGCUGUAAAGUUGUCAAAACAUUAUAGAAAAAUGCUUGCUUAGCUAGUAGUUAGAAUUUUUAAAUAUUAGAAAUGACUUUUUUUU
Dendrobium catenatum is the source of this 1428-nucleotide RNA transcript. It is a transcript of the gene named methyltransferase-like protein 6, with no coding region annotated. The transcript has 9 exons. The record is from RefSeq and is a predicted model, not a curated record. Lineage: Eukaryota; Viridiplantae; Streptophyta; Magnoliopsida; Asparagales; Orchidaceae.